CCUGUGAGGGUUGCUGGAGGUAUCAGAAGUGCGAAUGCUGACAUAAGUAACGAUAAAGCGGGUGAAAAGCCCGCUCGCCGGAAGACCAAGGGUUCCUGUCCAACGUUAAUCGGGGCAGGGUGAGUCGACCCCUAAGGCGAGGCCGAAAGGCGUAGUCGAUGGGAAACGGGUUAAUAUUCCCGUACUUGGUGUUACUGCGAAGGGGGGACGGAGAAGGCUAUGUUGGCCGGGCGACGGUUGUCCCGGUUUAAGCGUGUAGGUGUGUGUUCCAGGUAAAUCCGGUUCACUUUAACACUGAGGCGUGAUGACGAGGCACUACGGUGCUGAAGCAACAAAUGCCCUGCUUCCAGGAAAAGCCUCUAAGCAUCAGGUAACAUCAAAUCGUACCCCAAACCGACACAGGUGGUCAGGUAGAGAAUACCAAGGCGCUUGAGAGAACUCGGGUGAAGGAACUAGGCAAAAUGGUGCCGUAACUUCGGGAGAAGGCACGCUGACACGUAGGUGAAGUGAUUUACUCACGGAGCUGAAGUCAGUCGAAGAUACCAGCUGGCUGCAACUGUUUAUUAAAAACACAGCACUGUGCAAACACGAAAGUGGACGUAUACGGUGUGACGCCUGCCCGGUGCCGGAAGGUUAAUUGAUGGGGUCAGCGCAAGCGAAGCUCCUGAUCGAAGCCCCGGUAAACGGCGGCCGUAACUAUAACGGUCCUAAGGUAGCGAAAUUCCUUGUCGGGUAAGUUCCGACCUGCACGAAUGGCGUAAUGAUGGCCAGGCUGUCUCCACCCGAGACUCAGUGAAAUUGAACUCGCUGUGAAGAUGCAGUGUACCCGCGGCAAGACGGAAAGACCCCGUGAACCUUUACUAUAGCUUGACACUGAACAUUGAGCCUUGAUGUGUAGGAUAGGUGGGAGGCUUUGAAGCGUGGACGCCAGUCUGCGUGGAGCCAACCUUGAAAUACCACCCUUUAAUGUUUGAUGUUCUAACGUGGACCCGUGAUCCGGGUUGCGGACAGUGUCUGGUGGGUAGUUUGACUGGGGCGGUCUCCUCCUAAAGAGUAACGGAGGAGCACGAAGGUUGGCUAAUCCUGGUCGGACAUCAGGAGGUUAGUGCAAUGGCAUAAGCCAGCUUGACUGCGAGCGUGACGGCGCGAGCAGGUGCGAAAGCAGGUCAUAGUGAUCCGGUGGUUCUGAAUGGAAGGGCCAUCGCUCAACGGAUAAAAGGUACUCCGGGGAUAACAGGCUGAUACCGCCCAAGAGUUCAUAUCGACGGCGGUGUUUGGCACCUCGAUGUCGGCUCAUCACAUCCUGGGGCUGAAGUAGGUCCCAAGGGUAUGGCUGUUCGCCAUUUAAAGUGGUACGCGAGCUGGGUUUAGAACGUCGUGAGACAGUUCGGUCCCUAUCUGCCGUGGGCGCUGGAGAACUGAGGGGGGCUGCUCCUAGUACGAGAGGACCGGAGUGGACGCAUCACUGGUGUUCGGGUUGUCAUGCCAAUGGCACUGCCCGGUAGCUAAAUGCGGAAGAGAUAAGUGCUGAAAGCAUCUAAGCACGAAACUUGCCCCGAGAUGAGUUCU
Molecule: ribosomal RNA, 1569 nt
Filed under: Salmonella enterica
Lineage: Bacteria; Pseudomonadati; Pseudomonadota; Gammaproteobacteria; Enterobacterales; Enterobacteriaceae
Description: bacterial LSU rRNA
Rfam family: Bacterial large subunit ribosomal RNA
Source: RNAcentral